GACGAACGCUGGCGGCGUGCUUAACACAUGCAAGUCGAACGGUAAGGCCCCUUUGGGGGUACACGAGUGGCGAACGGGUGAGUAACACGUGAGUAACCUGCCCAUGACUUCGGGAUAACGUCAGGAAACUGGGGCUAAUACCGGAUAGGAAUCCCUGCUGCAUGGUGGGGGUUGGAAAGCUUCGGCGGUUUUGGAUGGACUCGCGGCUUAUCAGCUUGUUGGUGGGGUAGUGGCUUACCAAGGCUUUGACGGGUAGCCGGCCUGAGAGGGCGACCGGCCACAUUGGGACUGAGAUACGGCCCAGACGCCUACGGGAGGCAGCAGUGGGGAAUAUUGCACAAUGGGCGGAAGCCUGAUGCAGCAACGCCGCGUGCGGGAGGACGGCCUUCGGGUUGUAAACCGCUUUCAGCAGGGGCGAAGCUUGUGGUGACGGUACCUGCAGAAGAAGCACCGGCUAACUACGUG
RNAcentral lists this ribosomal RNA (465 nucleotides) under uncultured bacterium. RNAcentral describes it as "partial 16S ribosomal RNA". It matches the Rfam family "Bacterial small subunit ribosomal RNA", at positions 28 to 507 of the family's 1533-position model. The record is from RNAcentral.